RNAcentral lists this ribosomal RNA (468 nucleotides) under uncultured bacterium. RNAcentral's name for it is "partial 16S ribosomal RNA". It matches the Rfam family "Bacterial small subunit ribosomal RNA", at positions 28 to 507 of the family's 1533-position model. The record is from RNAcentral.
GACGAACGCUGGCGGCGUGCUUAACACAUGCAAGUCGAACGGAAAGGCCCUGCUUUUGUGGGGUGCUCGAGUGGCGAACGGGUGAGUAACACGUGAGUAACCUGCCCUUGACUUUGGGAUAACUUCAGGAAACUGGGGCUAAUACCGGAUAGGAGCUCCUGCUGCAUGGUGGGGGUUGGAAAGUUUCGGCGGUUGGGGAUGGACUCGCGGCUUAUCAGCUUGUUGGUGGGGUAGUGGCUUACCAAGGCUUCGACGGGUAGCCGGCCUGAGAGGGUGACCGGCCACAUUGGGACUGCGAUACGGCCCAGACUCCUACGGGAGGCAGCAGUGGGGAAUAUUGCACAAUGGGCGGAAGCCUGAUGCAGCAACGCCGCGUGCGGGAUGACGGCCUUCGGGUUGUAAACCGCUUUCGCCUGUGACGAAGCGUGAGUGACGGUAAUGUGUAAAGAAGCACCGGCUAACUACGUG